GAUGAACGCUAGCGGGAGGCCUAACACAUGCAAGCCGAGCGGUAGAGUUUCUUCGGAAACUUGAGAGCGGCGCACGGGUGCGUAACACGUGUGCAACCUACCUUUAUCUGGGGGAUAGCCUUUCGAAAGGAAGAUUAAUACCCCAUAAUAUAAUGAUUGGCAUCAAUUAUUAUUGAAAACUCCGGUGGAUAGAGAUGGGCACGCGCAAGAUUAGAUAGUUGGUGAGGUAACGGCUCACCAAGUCAAUGAUCUUUAGGGGUCCUGAGAGGGAGAUCCCCCACACUGGUACUGAGACACGGACCAGACUCCUACGGGAGGCAGCAGUGAGGAAUAUUGGACAAUGGGUGAGAGCCUGAUCCAGCCAUCCCGCGUGAAGGAGGACGGUCCUAUGGACUGUAAACUUCUUUUGUACAGGGAUAAACCUACCCUCGUGAGGGUAGCUGAAGGUACUGUACGAAUAAGCACCGGCUAACUCCGUG
Molecule: ribosomal RNA, 479 nt
Filed under: uncultured bacterium
Lineage: Bacteria
Description: partial 16S ribosomal RNA
Rfam family: Bacterial small subunit ribosomal RNA
Source: RNAcentral